AUUAAACGCUGGCGGCAUGCCUUACACAUGCAAGUCGAACGGCAGCACGGGGGCAACCCUGGUGGCGAGUGGCGGACGGGUGAGUAAUACAUCGGAACGUGCCCUGGAGUGGGGGGAUAACGCAGCGAAAGCUACGCUAAUACCGCAUAUUCUGUGAGCAGGAAAGCAGGGGAUCGCAAGACCUUGCGCUUUGGGAGCGGCCGAUGUCGGAUUAGCUAGUUGGUGGGGUAAAGGCCUACCAAGGCGACGAUCCGUAGCGGGUCUGAGAGGAUGAUCCGCCACACUGGGACUGAGACACGGCCCAGACUCCUACGGGAGGCAGCAGUGGGGAAUUUUGGACAAUGGGCGGAAGCCUGAUCCAGCCAUGCCGCGUGAGUGAAGAAGGCCUCGGUUGUAAGCUCUUUCGGCCGGGGGUAAGGAAAAGUUAGGCUUGGGGUUAAUACCUGAGUAGAUGA
RNAcentral lists this ribosomal RNA (455 nucleotides) under uncultured bacterium. RNAcentral's name for it is "bacterial SSU rRNA". It matches the Rfam family "Bacterial small subunit ribosomal RNA", at positions 29 to 491 of the family's 1533-position model. The record is from RNAcentral.